RNAcentral lists this non-coding RNA (129 nucleotides) under Luteimonas sp. 9C. Its description in RNAcentral is "SAM". It matches the Rfam family "SAM riboswitch aptamer (S box leader)". From Rfam's summary of the family: The SAM riboswitch is found upstream of a number of genes which code for proteins involved in methionine or cysteine biosynthesis in Gram-positive bacteria. The record is from RNAcentral. Lineage: Bacteria; Pseudomonadati; Pseudomonadota; Gammaproteobacteria; Lysobacterales; Lysobacteraceae.
CAUCCAUCGAGACCGGCGGAGGGGCAGGCCCUUUGAUGCCGGGGCAACCUGAUGGGAUCCGCGCGUCGCGCGGCGUCCAUCGCGGUGCCAAGUCCUGCGGGGACCUGUGUGUCCACCGGAAGAUGGUGA